ACGUAGGGUGCAAGCGUUGGUCGGAAUUAUUGGGCGUAAAGGGUGCGUAGGCGGUUUGGUAAGUCGCUUGUGAAAUCUAUGGGCUCAACUCAUAGUCUGCAAGGGAAACUGCCGGGCUUGAGUGUGGGAGAGGUGAGUGGAAUUUCCGGUGUAGCGGUGAAAUGCGUAGAUAUCGGAAGGAACACCUGUGGCGAAAGCGGCUCACUGGACCACAACUGACGCUGAUGCACGAAAGCUAGGGGAGCAAACAGG
Molecule: ribosomal RNA, 252 nt
Filed under: uncultured bacterium
Lineage: Bacteria
Description: partial 16S ribosomal RNA
Rfam family: Bacterial small subunit ribosomal RNA
Source: RNAcentral